RNAcentral lists this ribosomal RNA (397 nucleotides) under uncultured bacterium. Its description in RNAcentral is "bacterial SSU rRNA". It matches the Rfam family "Bacterial small subunit ribosomal RNA", at positions 29 to 429 of the family's 1533-position model. The record is from RNAcentral.
AUUGAACGCUGGCGGCAUGCUUUACACAUGCAAGUCGAGCGGCAGCGCGGGGGGCAACCCUGGCGGCGAGCGGCGAACGGGUGAGUAAUGCAUCGGAACGUAUCCUGUAGUGGGGAAUAACUCACCGAAAGGUGAGCUAAUACCGCAUAAGCUCUGAGGAGGAAAGCGGGGGACCGAAAGGCCUCGCGCUGCAGGAGCGGCCGAUGUCCGAUUAGCUAGUUGGUGAGGUAAAGGCUCACCAAGGCGACGAUCGGUAGCUGGUCUGAGAGGAUGAUCAGCCACACUGGGACUGAGACACGGCCCAGACUCCUACGGGAGGCAGCAGUGGGGAAUUUUGGACAAAUGGGGGAAACCCUGAUCCAGCCAUGCCGCGUGAGUGAAGAAGGCCUGGUGUAAG